This 501-nucleotide ribosomal RNA is filed under the name uncultured bacterium. Its description in RNAcentral is "bacterial SSU rRNA". It matches the Rfam family "Bacterial small subunit ribosomal RNA", at positions 28 to 525 of the family's 1533-position model. The record is from RNAcentral.
GAUUAACGCUGGCGGCAUGCCUAAUACAUGCAAGUCGAACGGAAGCAGCAAUGCUUUAGUGGCGAACGGGUGAGUAACACGUAGGGAACCUACCUAUACGACGAGGAUAACUACUGGAAACGGUAGCUAAAAACUGGAUAGGAUCAAUUGAGGCAUCUUGAUUGAUUUAAAGAUCCUUCGGGAUUACGUAGAGAUGGCCCUGCGGCGCAUUAGCUAGUUGGUGAGGUAACGGCCCACCAAGGCGACGAUGCGUAGCUGAGCUGAGAGGCUAAACAGCCACACUGGGACUGAGACACGGCCCAGACUCCUACGGGAGGCAGCAGUAGGGAAUUUUCGGCAAUGGGGGAAACCCUGACCGAGCAAUGCCGCGUGAACGAUGAAGGUCUUCGGAUUGUAAAGUUCUGUGAUUGGGGAAGAAUGGUAUUCUUAGGGAAUGAGGAGUACAUGACGGUACCCGAUUAGAAAGCCCCGGCUAACUAUGUGCCAGCAGCCGCGGUAAUU